RNAcentral lists this ribosomal RNA (585 nucleotides) under Trichosporon asahii. Its description in RNAcentral is "partial large subunit ribosomal RNA". It matches the Rfam family "Eukaryotic large subunit ribosomal RNA", at positions 68 to 642 of the family's 3401-position model. Lineage: Eukaryota; Fungi; Basidiomycota; Tremellomycetes; Trichosporonales; Trichosporonaceae. The record is from RNAcentral.
ACAAGGAUUCCCCUAGUAACGGCGAGUGAAGCGGGAAGAGCUCAAAUUUGAAAUCUGGCAGUCUUCGAUUGUCCGAGUUGUAAUCUAUAGAGGCGUUUUCCGUGCCGGACCGUGUCCAAGUCUCCUGGAAAGGAGUAUCAAAGAGGGUGAUAAUCCCGUACUUAACACGACCACCGGUGCUCUGUGAUACGUCUUCUACGAGUCGAGUUGUUUGGGAAUGCAGCUCAAAAUGGGUGGUGAAUUCCAUCUAAAGCUAAAUAUUGGCGAGAGACCGAUAGCGAACAAGUACCGUGAGGGAAAGAUGAAAAGCACUUUGGAAAGAGAGUUAAACAGUACGUGAAAUUGUUGAAAGGGAAACGAUUGAAGUCAGUCGUGUUCUUUGGAUUCAGCCAGUUCUGCUGGUCUACUUCCUUGGAACGGGUCAACAUCAGUUUUGUCCGGUGGAUAAAGGUAGUAGGAAUGUGACUUCUCCGGAAGUGUUAUAGCCUAUUAUCACAUACACUGGGUGAGACUGAGGACUGCAGCUCGCCUUUAUGGCCGGCCUUCGGGCACGUUCGAGCUUAGGAUGUUGACAUAAUGGCUUUA